This 480-nucleotide ribosomal RNA is filed under the name uncultured bacterium. RNAcentral describes it as "partial 16S ribosomal RNA". It matches the Rfam family "Bacterial small subunit ribosomal RNA", at positions 28 to 523 of the family's 1533-position model. The record is from RNAcentral.
GACGAACGCUGGCGGCGUGCCUAACACAUGCAAGUCGAACGGAGAUACGAUUUCGGUUGUAUCUUAGUGGCGAACGGGUGAGUAACGCGUGAACAACCUGACUCUAAGAGGGGGAUAACACUCGGAAACGGGUGCUAAUACCGCUUAAGACCACGACCCGGCAUCGGGAUGAGGUCAAAGGAGCAAUCCGCUGAGAGGGGGGUUCGCGUCCCAUAGAUAGAUGGCGGGGUAACGGCCCACCAUGUCAACGAUGGGUAGCCGAGCUGAGAGGCUGCUCGGCCACACUGGAACUGAGACACGGUGCAGACUCCUACGGGAGGCAGCAGUGGGGAAUAUUGGGCAAUGGGCGCAAGCCUGACCCAGCAACGCCGCGUGAGGGAAGAAGGCUUUCGGGUUGUAAACCUCUGUCCUUGGUGACGAAACAAAUGACGGUAGCCAAGGAGGAAGCCCCGGCUAACUACGUGCCAGCCGCCGCCGUAA